RNAcentral lists this ribosomal RNA (421 nucleotides) under uncultured microorganism. RNAcentral describes it as "bacterial SSU rRNA". It matches the Rfam family "Bacterial small subunit ribosomal RNA", at positions 9 to 429 of the family's 1533-position model. The record is from RNAcentral.
GAGUUUGAUCCUGGCUCAGAUUGAACGCUGGCGGCAUGCCUUACACAUGCAAGUCGAACGGCAGCAUGAUCUAGCUUGCUAGAUUGAUGGCGAGUGGCGAACGGGUGAGUAAUACAUCGGAACGUGCCCUGUAGUGGGGGAUAACUAGUCGAAAGAUUAGCUAAUACCGCAUACGACCUGAGGGUGAAAGUGGGGGACCGCAAGGCCUCAUGCUAUAGGAGCGGCCGAUGUCUGAUUAGCUAGUUGGUGGGUAAAGGCCCACCAAGGCGACGAUCAGUAGCUGGCCUGAGAGGACGAUCAGCCACACUGGGACUGAGACACGGCCCAGACUCCUACGGGAGGCAGCAGUGGGGAAUUUUGGACAAUGGGCGAAAGCCUGAUCCAGCAAUGCCGCGUGUGUGAAGAAGGCCUCGGUUGUAAG